GAUGAACGCUGGCGGCGUGCCUAAUACAUGCAAGUCGAGCGGUAAGGCCCUUCGGGGUACACGAGCGGCGGACGGGUGAGUAACACGUAAGAACAUACCCCAAACUGAGGGAUAACUGCUCGAAAGAGUAGCUAAUACCGCAUGUGCUCUAAGGAGUAAAGCUUCGGCGGUUUGGGAAUGGCUUGCGUCCGAUUAGCUAGUUGGUAAGGUAAUGGCUUACCAAGGCGACGAUCGGUAGCUGUUCUGAGAGGAUGAUCAGCCACACUGGGACUGAGACACGGCCCAGACUCCUACGGGAGGCAG
This 303-nucleotide ribosomal RNA is filed under the name uncultured Candidatus Saccharibacteria bacterium. Its description in RNAcentral is "bacterial SSU rRNA". It matches the Rfam family "Bacterial small subunit ribosomal RNA", at positions 28 to 351 of the family's 1533-position model. Lineage: Bacteria; Candidatus Saccharimonadota. The record is from RNAcentral.